AGCCCACCACAUGUGGCUCGCAUGCUUAAAUAACUAACGGCAUAAUUAGAUCACUUGAUGACGACGUAUAUCGGUGUUCGCUAUAUAUACUAUCUACUGGUAAGUAUAUCUUUAAUAUACUUACCAGUAGAUAGUAUAUAUAGUGAACACCGAUAUGCGUCAUCAUCAAGUGAUUUAAUUAUGCCGUUAGUUAAGCAUGCGAGCCACAUGUGGUGAGCUUACG
Molecule: microRNA precursor, 223 nt
Organism: Oryza sativa Japonica Group (Japanese rice)
Lineage: Eukaryota; Viridiplantae; Streptophyta; Magnoliopsida; Poales; Poaceae
Rfam family: MIR810 microRNA precursor family
Source: Rfam